RNAcentral lists this unclassified non-coding RNA (1109 nucleotides) under Leishmania donovani. RNAcentral describes it as "gene:LdHU3.12.0050(CDS-product:proteasome_beta-1_ subunit_putative)". The record is from RNAcentral. Lineage: Eukaryota; Euglenozoa; Kinetoplastea; Trypanosomatida; Trypanosomatidae.
UUUGUCGUUAGUCGUUCUAUCUUUUUUUUUCAUCUCGCUGUUCUUUGGUCUUCUGACUGGCCUGCGCACCCGAAAGGAAAGACCGAAAGAGAAAAGAUGCUCCAGCGCCCUGAUCAUACUCUUCUGCAGGAUCCUUCGUAUCCGAAGGAUAUUGAGCAGAAGCUGACGGAGAAUGGGCCAGCACAGGCUGGCAAGCAGCUUUUUCAGCCGGAUCUCGCCGUUAUUGACCCGCAGCUGAGCGAGGCCGUCUCUCUGGGCACAACAAUUCUUGCUGUAUCGUACAAAGGCGGUGUUGUUCUUGCCGCGGACUCGCGCACUUCGUCCGGCACGUAUGUCGUGAAUCGUGCCAGCAACAAGCUGACGAAGCUGACCGAGAAGAUUUAUUGCUGUCGAAGUGGUUCUGCCGCGGAUACACAGGCUCUCGCUGAGCGCGUCUCGAACUACCUCGGUAGCUAUCAAACGGAUAUCGGCGCAGACGUGAACGUUGCCACGGCAGCGAAUCUGUUUCACAAAAUGUGCUACGUGAACAGAUGGAACAUCUCGGCGGGCAUCAUCGUCGCUGGGUACGACCCGAUCAACGGAGGCUCAGUGUACAGCAUCCCAUCUGGCGGGUCAUGCGUAAAGCUCGACUAUGCACUUGGCGGCAGCGGCUCCAUUUUCCUGUACUCUUUCUUUGAUGCCAACUAUAAACCGGGUAUGUCGAAGAGCGAGUGCGUUGCCUUCUGCCAGCGUGCUGUUGCGCACGCGUACAGCCGCGACGGCUCCAGCGGCGGUCUGAUCCGGACGAUCACUCUCGACGCUGAAGAGGCAGAGGACCUGACGGUCCCGUGGAAACGGUCGCCCUACUGCAUGGAGAAGGAUCCAAAAUAUCAGGUGCAGGCCGUGCAGAACCCGCCCUUCAGCAGCAGCGCCAAGGUUACCGGAAAUCGGAUGUCUUCGACAGGGUGAGAGCGGAUUCUGUUGCACGAGCCGCGUUAUUAUCUACGUGCUCUUUCGUUUUCGUUUUCUUUCUGUAUCUGACGUAUGUAGGCGUACUUGCUUCUCUGGCUCUGACUUGUCAAAACCUCUACGGAUGGAGUAUUGAGACCGUGGCCAAGAGCGGCUGGAUG